AUCAGAUCAGAUCUACAGUCAUUUCUCUCCACUUUCUACUUUUGGAUGAUUGAAUGAUUCAUAGCAGAUCUUGCAGCGUGAUAGGGUCAAAUCAAGGUCACUAUCAGCAGACUUCCUGUAGACUGCCUGAACUGCUGUUAGUCUCCUCUAAAGGUUUCAAUGUACUGUCUGGUUGUAGAGAAGGAGAGAGAAAGAAACAGAGGAAUUACGGAGAAGAGUCUGAGGGGAGGGAGGGAGCAGAGGUGAAACUCACCGUCCCUCACCUAAACUCAAGUCGCACUGCAUUAGUCUCAUGCACCAAUUAUUGUUGGAAGGAAGGAGAAGGAGGAAGGAGAGGGAGAUCGAAACACACAGACAGAGACAGAGACAGAAGAAGUCACACCAGCUUUCGCUUUGGCUCCCCCUUCUGUCCAGCUCAGGCAUUGAGCGUCGCCGGCAUUCUAGCUGCUGCCGAACCUACUGCUGCAAUCGCCCUUAGAAUAAGAGACAGAGAUCGAUAGAAGAAAUAAGAACUUCAAGAGGAGAGAUGGAGAAAGGAGGAAGUGAGAAGAAGAGAGGACCAGAGAACAGUUCGAAAUUGAGCGACACAAAGGAAGAGAAAAGAAAAGCAGAAACUGACAGAGGAAGAAGAGGAGGAGGAAAGAGAAAGAGAGGAGGUACAGCUAGAGAGGGACAGAGAGGUCUCUCUUUGUCACUUUCUGAGGGAGAUGAAGUCAAACAGAAGACAGUAAGCAUGGAGAAUGAUGGAAUUAAAAUAGAAGAUUUACAAGCAGAGGCAUAGGAACGGCUCAAUAUGCAUGAAGAGAAGAGGCUAGAAAUAUUGAAGGGGGAAAGAGAACGGAUAGAAGAAGAACAACAAAUCAGGAGGAAGAAGCAGGAAAGACUGUUAUCGAUGGACAGACAGCUGGAGAGGGUACAACAACAAGAGGAGCAGGAUAAAAAACUACAGAUCGAAGAGGGUACGACAACAAGAAGACCAGGAUAAAAAAACAACAGAUCAAAAUUGCAAAACAUAAAGAAACUGACAGACUUAGAGAGGCGAAGCAGGAAGAGAGAGAGGAGGAGAGAAAGAGAGCCAUUGAAGGCCACAUAGCUUUAAUCAGAGGAAGAGAGAAGAUGACAGAGGCAAAAAAGAGGCAGGAGAUGGCAGAAGAGGAAAGAAGGGAUGAGAAGUACAAGAGGGGUGAGUUAGAGAAGCCUGAAGAGGAGGAGAAGAACCCUGAAGAGAAGGAGGACGACAAGGAGGACCUCUCCCCAGCCAAUAAAAGUAUCAGAAGGAAAGCACUGGGUGAAUAGGAAGUGGGAGAAGAGGAACCUCAAAAAGGACAGAGAGAAUGUAUCAGAGAGAGGAGGAGGGAUAUGAGAUCAUCAACAGAGUCAUCCCUGGUACCACUGAAGCGAUAACGUCCUUCACCACCUGGGCAGAGAGAGAGAGAGGGAGAAGAGGAAGGGGUUGCUGAAAGAUGAGGAGAAAUGGAAGAAGAUGGAGUAUUUCAAUAAGCAUUGGAGAGAGCAGUCCCUGCUUCCAAAACAGACUCAACAGACAGUUAAAGAGGACAGGGAGAGGAGGAAGGAACAUUACCUAAAAGAACAGGAGGAGAAAUGACUGGAGGAGAUGAAUCUGGAGGCUGAUUACAUUAGAUUAGAAGUUUAAUUGUCACAUGUACAGGGUUGACGGGCAAAUCAAGAAGUUCAGCACCCAGUUCAUCAACCAGUUUCCAUCUGACUACAACCACGAUCAACAGUUGCUGGGGUGGGCCACGGGCCAGAAGGUAAACCAAGGCCUCGCUGGGUUGUACAUGACCAGCCGAGGGAGCCAGAGAGCCAGCAGAGGGGACCAGAGAGCCAGCAGGGGAUUUCAGAGGUGGCUGAGAAAUCAGUCAACCACCAAACCCAAGAAAAAGGCAGGCAUCUGCAAGAGAAUUAAGACGUGGUAAAGAAUGUUUAAAAAUGUAUUUAUGUUCUACAGUGCUAUUAUAUAUGUCCCCACUUUAAAGAAGUGACAUUAUCCACAUGUUUGGCUCCAAAUGUGAGGAUUUAGUGAACAUGCAACACACUUGUAAAGAUAAAGAUACUUAGUGAAUACUUUCCUGUCUCUGUGAUGUCUUUCAGCAUUCCUGACCUCCUGUUGCUCAGAACUGAAACUGGGCGGAGCCACACUGCCACUAGACUACAUUGGUAUUUAAAGUGUCUCCCAAUAAUUCCUCCUCCUCUUCUUCAAGGCCACAUUUCCUCAACAAAACAUUAUAAGCUCCUCAAGUCAGCAGUAUCCUCUUCAUCGAGGCAACAAACAUUCUAAGGUCAGUGACUCUCCUCCCCAGACCUGACAUUCCAAUAUUUAUCCAAGUUGAAUAUCCUUGUUGAAUUCAACUCUGAUCACCACCUCUGCGGUCCUAGAAGAUAUCCCCAAAUGGACAUGGUUUAAACAGAAGUAAAGCAAGAAGUGAAGCAAGUCCUCUCCCCAAUCAGUGGCUCCACAGACAAGAGAUUCUCAUCUUUAUCCAAGUAACACAUCGCUGGUCAGUUCCACCACCCUCCUGUCCUAGACCUAGAAGAUAUCUCCCAACUUAACAUGGUGAAACAAUUUGAGAGGCACAGGGAAAGCCAUGGAGCAGCACCCCUUGGAUGAAGAGCCAUUUAGGGGUUAAGUGCCUUGAUCUAGGGCACAACGGCAGGAGAUGGUACCUGGGAGCAAAGUACUGUUCAGCUUUAAUAAAAGCAUGAAUUAAAAAAGCGACAUUGUUUUUACGGUGUUGAUUUUAUUGGUUAUUUAUUAGAAUUUAAACAUACAUCGUGGUAUUAUAUGUUAGACUUCCAGUGAGUCUCCUAACCUUCCAUCAGUUUGCUACAAUGUGUGACUGUUAUGUUAUUUUAGAGAGGGGUCAUAUCUUGCUGGCCCAAUAUUUAUAAGUUAAGAGCGUUGGACCAGCAAAUGGAAAGGUCGCUGGUUCGAAUCCCAGAGCAAACUAGGUAAAAAGUCUGUCUGUGCUCUAAAAUGGAAAUGUCGUCUAUAUAUUUAUACAAUAUAUGGUAGACCAUAGGAGAAAUAUCAG
RNAcentral lists this long non-coding RNA (3053 nucleotides) under Salmo salar (Atlantic salmon). Its description in RNAcentral is "lncRNA (ENSSSAG00000083045.1, ENSSSAG00000105311.1)". The record is from RNAcentral. Lineage: Eukaryota; Metazoa; Chordata; Actinopteri; Salmoniformes; Salmonidae.